GAUGAAGAACGCAGCGAAAUGCGAUAAGUAAUGUGAAUUGCAGAAUUCAGUGAAUCAUCGAAUCUUUGAACGCACAUUGCGCCCAUUAGUAUUCUAGUGGGCAUGCCUGUUCGAGCGUCAUUAAUUCCACUUAAGCCCUGCUUAGUGUUGGGAAUCUACUCUAGUGGUGCUACCCUGGAGCUACCCCUGAAAGGGGGCUGGCCCGGUAGCUACCCUGUAGUUCCUCAAAGAUAGUGCGCGGAGUUGCGUGGUCCUCUGAGCUUAGUAACUAUACACCUAGCUUUUGAGUGUCGCGCGGCGCCUGCCGUUUAAACCCCAUCUUUUAAUGGUUGACCUCGGAUCAGGUAGGAAUACCCGCUGAACUUAAGCAUAUCAAUAAGCGGAGGA
This 387-nucleotide unclassified non-coding RNA is filed under the name soil metagenome. RNAcentral's name for it is "partial contains 5.8S ribosomal RNA, internal transcribed spacer 2, and large subunit ribosomal RNA". The stretch from base 1 to 120 matches the Rfam family "5.8S ribosomal RNA", at positions 35 to 154 of the family's 154-position model. The record is from RNAcentral.